Molecule: ribosomal RNA, 468 nt
Filed under: uncultured bacterium
Lineage: Bacteria
Description: partial 16S ribosomal RNA
Rfam family: Bacterial small subunit ribosomal RNA
Source: RNAcentral
GACGAACGCUGGCGGCGUGCUUAACACAUGCCAGUCGAACGGAAAGGCCCUGCUUUUGUGGGGUGCUCGAGUGGCGAACGGGUGAGUAACACGUGAGUAACCUGCCCUUGACUUUGGGAUAACUUCAGGAAACUGGGGCUAAUACCGGAUAGGAGCUCCUGCUGCAUGGUGGGGGUUGAAAAGUUUCGGCGGUUGGGGAUGGACUCGCGGCUUAUCAGCUUGUUGGUGGGGUAGUGGCUUACCAAGGCUUUGACGGGUAGCCGGCCUGAGAGGGUGACCGGCCACAUUGGGACUGAGAUACGGCCCAGACUCCUACGGGAGGCAGCAGUGGGGAAUAUUUCACAAUGGGCGGAAGCCUGAUGCAGCAACGCCGCGUGCGGGAUGAAGGCCUUCGGGUUGUAAACCGCUUUCGCCUGUGACGAAGCGUGAGUGACGGUAAUGGGUAAAGAAGCACCGGCUAACUACGUG